AUGGCCCCGCCGAAGAGGUUCUCGGGCGCGGAGAAAGGAAAGGCUCGCCAGGAAGGUCCUGGCUCUCCUCCGGCCAAGCGUGGCCGGGGCCGCCCUCGCAAGCAUCCUACGGCCUCCGCUGCGGCUUCUCGUGGUCGUGGAAGCAGUCCUCUGCGCGGCGGUGGGUGCUCGGCUGCCGACGAGAGGUACGCGGUGGCUGCGAGACCCCCCAGGCCGCGUUCCCGCUCGGCGGAGGUGCUGCCGGAGUUCGUCGUGUGGUCGGCGGACCCGACCGGCACCUGGCUCCAGCUCUCCCGCUUAUUUGUAGGUGAACUUCCGGCUGGUGCCCUGGGCGGCCUUUGGCUUCAGGCAGAUGGUUGCUGCAGCAGAGCCUCCUAG
Molecule: ribosomal RNA, 378 nt
Filed under: Triticum aestivum (bread wheat)
Lineage: Eukaryota; Viridiplantae; Streptophyta; Magnoliopsida; Poales; Poaceae
Description: partial small subunit ribosomal RNA
Source: RNAcentral